UGCGUCUGGCCAGACACAAAGCAACUCCAUGUUUACCCCAGCCCGACUUUUGGUCAGUACCCAUGCCUGGUUCACGCCCUGGACACAUGG
This is a small nucleolar RNA of Talpa occidentalis (Iberian mole), 90 nucleotides long. RefSeq annotates it as small nucleolar RNA SNORA48. Lineage: Eukaryota; Metazoa; Chordata; Mammalia; Eulipotyphla; Talpidae. The record is from RefSeq and is a predicted model, not a curated record. The transcript has a single exon.